CUACGGGCUGCACCAGUGAGGAAUAUUGCACAAUGGGGGAAACCCUGAUGCAGCAACGCCGCGUGGAGGAUGACGCAUUUCGGUGUGUAAACUCCUUUUAUAUGUCAAGAAAAUGACGGUAGCAUAUGAAUAAGCACCGGCUAACUCCGUGCCAGCAGCCGCGGUAAUACGGAGGGUGCAAGCGUUAUUCGGAAUCACUGGGCGUAAAGGACGCGUAGGCGGGUUUGCAAGUCAGGUGUGAAAUCCUAUGGCUCAACCAUAGAACUGCACUUGAAACUGCGAACCUAGAGUAUGGAAGGGGCAGAUGGAAUUAGUGGUGUAGGGGUAAAAUCCGUAGAUAUCACUAGGAAUACCAAAAGCGAAGGCGAUCUGCUGGGACAUUACUGACGCUAAGGCGUGAAAGCGUGGGGAGCAAACAGGAUUAGAUACCCCAGUAGUC
RNAcentral lists this ribosomal RNA (439 nucleotides) under uncultured bacterium. RNAcentral describes it as "partial 16S ribosomal RNA". It matches the Rfam family "Bacterial small subunit ribosomal RNA", at positions 339 to 795 of the family's 1533-position model. The record is from RNAcentral.